GGACGAACGCUGGCGGCGUGCUUAACACAUGCACGUCGAACGGAAAGGCCUCUUUCGGGGGGUACUCGAGUGGCGAACGGGUGAGUAACACGUGAGUAACCUGCCCUUGACUUUGGGAUAACUUCAGGAAACUGGGGCUAAUACCGGAUAGGAGCUCCUGCUGCAUGGUGGGGGUUGGAAAGUUUCGGCGGUUGGGGAUGGACUCGCGGCUUAUCAGCUUGUUGGUGGGGUAGUGGCUUACCAAGGCUUUGACGGGUAGCCGGCCUGAGAGGGUGACCGGCCACAUUGGGACUGAGAUACGGCCCAGACUCCUACGGGAGGCAGCAGUGGGGAAUAUUGCACAAUGGGUGGAAGCCUGAUGCAGCAACGCCGUGUGCGGGAUGACGGCCUUCGGGUUGUAAACCGCUUUCGCUCAUGACGAAGCUUUGUGUGACGGUAGUGGGUAAAGAAGCACCGGCUAACUACGUG
Molecule: ribosomal RNA, 468 nt
Filed under: uncultured bacterium
Lineage: Bacteria
Description: partial 16S ribosomal RNA
Rfam family: Bacterial small subunit ribosomal RNA
Source: RNAcentral